GGAUGCGGGCAGCACCGAGACGGAAGCGCGGCAGGACGGGAGCGGUGCUGAGGACAGCGGCGCCGGAGGUGUGCGGGAGAACGGCUCCAUGCCGGGGAGAGGAACCGAGCGCGGCCCGAAUCCCCCCGCCGUCCCCUCCGCUCCCCUCCCCUCCUCUUGGCCGUGGGAUGCGGGGAUUUGGGACGGCUGAAGGACUCGGGGCCCCCACCGCCGCAGCGCUGCUGCCCGCAUCCGGGCCGGGCCCCCCCGAGCCUCCAGCGCUGCUCCCGGUGCCCCCCGGGGCUGAGGCAGGAGCCGGGCAGCGGUACUGCAGCUCGUCUGGCAGCUUUGCAGCUCAGUUGGGAAGUAGAAGAUGUGGCUGUGAAAGAAGAAGUCAGUUGCUGGGACGUCCCCCUGUUCUUCCCCUAGCUGUCCCCUUGCCUCAGCCAGGAUUCCCCUUGCAUUCCUGUAGGAUUCCCUUCCAUCCUCCUGGUUGUCCCUUGCUUUCCCCAAGGUUGCUCUUUCCUUUCCCAUGACAGCCCACCCAUCAUUCUCUCAAAGCCCCAGUAUCCACCCCAGUGUUUCCCCAGCAAGACCCCUAGAGACACCCUGUAGCCUCCCACAGAUCCCCAUAGCCCCCUCAAGGAGCUCCUCAGAACCGGUACACCUCCCCUGUACCUGGCCCAUAUGCACAUGGAGCCCCACAGUCCCCAGCAUCACCCCAUGUCCCCCUCUGGGCUCCCACAGAACCCCCAUGUUUCCUCUAUUUCCUCCCUCAGACCUCCUUUCCCACCUCCAAGACCCCAACCCCGGGAUCUCAUCGAUUCCUACGGUCCCUGACAGCAGCACCCCUGUCACCAUCCCAGGAACCCCAUAGCACACCUGAGGCCUCUCCUCAGCCCCAUCCCCAUCAAGCUCUUGUACAGCCAUAGGGUGCUGGGGCAGGGGUGGCUGCUGCAGGAGAGGAAUGCGGAGCUGGGGCAGGUGUAGGGCACAGCUGUGGGUGAAAGGGAUGUGAGGGGCACUGUGGGUCCAGGAACAUAGGAGGAUUUGGGCAGGAUAUGGGGCUAUAGACCACAGCCUGCAGGAGCAGAGUGCUUUGCAGGAGAAGACAAGGUGUGAGGUACAGGUGGGACUUGUGGGUGCGGGGACGUGGGGUGGCAUGGGGACGUAGGGGGUAUGAGGGCACGUGGGGAGCUGUUUGCGGAUAGAAUGGAGGAUGUGGGGUGGUGUUGGAGUGCACUGGUUGAUUUCUUCCUCAGAGGGGAUUGGGGUUCCCUGUGGCCCAAAGGUGGAGCCCUGAUCCAUAACCCCACGUGAGCCCCGAACGCCAUAUAACUCGGCGUGAGCCCAAGGCUCCCCAUGACCCAUAACCCUGUGAGCACCGUAAGCCCAUAUGAGGCUGAGGGCAGUGAUGGGUCUGUUACUGGCUAGGUCAGGAGGGUGGCUCUGGGGCCGCUGUUGUAUAGCACUCUACAUCUGCCCCUGACCCUCAUCUAGCCCACAUCUUGGGGGGUAAGAUGAGGGUGCAGGGGUUAGUGGAGGGCUAAGGAAGAGAUUCCAUGAGUAUGAACCAUAGCAGCCUCAGAGCCAUCCUAGAGCAGCGCCAUCACUGCCCGCGGCCCGUGGCCAGCAGCAGUUCUCCUGGUUGCUGUGUUGUUACUUCACUCUCCUCAGUGAGUUCCUUCUGCUCCCAUAGUUCUCCUCCUGUGGCACUCACUGCUCUCCUGUUCCCCCUUGGCUAAGGACUGCAGGCUCACAGUCUCCGCCACGCAUCCGCUGUGCAGUUUUUCCAGAGCAGGUCUAUGGCCAAGCUGCUCCUUUUGGGCUGAUUGUGUGCUUUUCUAUGCAGACAGGCAGGCAGGAUUUCUUGCAGCUGUCGUACGUGCUGGGUCUCAUGCUCCGUCCUGCACCUGUGCCUUAUCUCGUGUGCACUCUCCACCUCCCCCUGGUCAGUACAUCCUGGCCCUGCUGUGCUCUGCUCAGCAUCUGUCUGCUGAGCAACGACACAGCUGUCACACUGACCCUACCUUGUGCUAUCCCUGCAGAUGUUUGAUGAUUUCCUCUGCCACUGUCCCAGCCAUAACAGGUCGGGUGAUUUCCAGCAGCACACAGCUGGCACACCGAGCCACUCUGACCACGUACGGCAGCAGCCCGCCCCAUGGCUUCCUUGGGGCAGCCGUGGGGCUGUACCACCCUGAGGAGGCGAUGACUUUUCCCCACACACAGCUGGUUCUCUGGCCACACGGGGUGAGGAUGUGGGGUUGGGGGUCACAUGGCUGUCCUGCAGAGUCAGAGUGUUAUGGGGUUUUGUGGGGUUCUGGGUUAGAUGGGGUUCUGGGUUGCUGUGAUGAGGUCAGAUGAGAUGGUAGGGUCAGAUGGGGUGACAUGGAGUUCUGUGGUCACAUGUGUUUCUAUGGUCGAGUUGAGGUGGGGGCAGGGAUCCCAGAGUUCUGGGGCCACAUGGCAUCGGGUCGCAGCGUGAUGGGGGCAGGUAGGGUCAGGGAGUCACAGGGUCAUGUGGGGGUGUGGUUCACCCAGGGUUGUGGGUCACAUACAGCCAUGGGGUCACACACAUGAUGAGGUCAUCUUGGCUUAUGGCUCGUGUGGGGUUACGGCUUAGGGUCCCACCUUUGGGCUGCACGGACCCCCAGUCCCCUCUCAGGAAGAAAUGAAACCCCUCCUACACCGCUGUCCCCUUCCCCCCUUUUUUUUUUACCUCAAACUGCUCCCCACCUCCUCCCAUAGCACCCCAUACCCCCGCGUCCCUCUUGCAGCGCACAUCUUGUCUUCUCCUGAACAGCAUUCUGCUCCUGCAGGCUGUGUUGUCAUAUCCAUUCUAUAUCCCCCACACCCCCUCCCACAGAGCUACAUAGCUCCUCAAGUACUUUCUCUGACCGGGUACACCUCCCCCACCGCCAACCUGGGACCUCGCAGAGCCCCACAGUCCCCAGCAGCACCCCACGUCCCCCACGGUUCUUCAAGGAUCCCUCCGAUUUGAGGGAGGCUCAGACCUCCCUUUAUGCCUCAGACCCCUCCUGUGUUCUCCGACUCCCACAGUCCCUGACAGGACUCCCAUCACCAUCCCAGGACCCCCGUAGCCCACUGAUGAGGAACCCCGCAGCAAUCCACAUCUCAGGAUGGGGCUCCAGCUGUGCCCCAAUGCCUGCAUUAAAGAGAGGAGAAUGAAUGAGUGUAACGGGGCACCUUUCCUCCUGACAUUACCAACUGCCUGCGUGUUGGCUGUGCCACAUGAGCGGCAUUUUGUCCUCGAGCUGUGAGUGCAGACAGAGGCCCUGAGAACAACCAGAGCCGUGUCUGCGUUCACCAAGGACUCACCUCUGCACGUGCAGCGGCAGCUCUGAGGGCAGCCUUCAUCGAUUCCCCUCUCCUCUCUUUCUCUUGGCGUCUUCUUGCUAGAAAGCAAGAAUAAACAUGAAUGCAUUUUGUCAGCA
Gallus gallus (chicken) is the source of this 3434-nucleotide RNA transcript. RefSeq lists it as uncharacterized. The record is from RefSeq and is a predicted model, not a curated record. Lineage: Eukaryota; Metazoa; Chordata; Aves; Galliformes; Phasianidae. The transcript has 3 exons.